RNAcentral lists this ribosomal RNA (253 nucleotides) under uncultured bacterium. RNAcentral's name for it is "partial 16S ribosomal RNA". It matches the Rfam family "Bacterial small subunit ribosomal RNA", at positions 524 to 776 of the family's 1533-position model. The record is from RNAcentral.
UACGUAGGGGGCGAGCGUUGUCCGGAGUUACUGGGCGUAAAGCGCACGCAGGCGGUCUGUUAAGUUUGGAGUGACAGUUGGUGGCUUAACUGCCAAAGUGCUUCGAAAACUGACAGACUUGAGGGCUUCAGAGGGACACGGAAUUCCGGGUGGAGUGGUGGAAUGCGUAGAGAUCCGGAGGAACACCAAAGGCGAAGGCAGUGUCCUGGGGAGUACCUGACGCUCAGGUGCGAAAGCCAGGGGAGCGAACGGG